RNAcentral lists this long non-coding RNA (254 nucleotides) under Malus domestica (apple). RNAcentral's name for it is "long non-coding RNA (MDOM_LNC019411)". The record is from RNAcentral. Lineage: Eukaryota; Viridiplantae; Streptophyta; Magnoliopsida; Rosales; Rosaceae.
CAUUAUUCCAACCAUUUGAGUUACUUGCUUGACAUGUGAGUAGACCUCCAUGCAAGUACUCUGAUUCGAUUGUUUCAGUGAACUCAUUCCCUUAAUGAGCACCUACAUACUUGUCUUAGUGUGAAUGGGUUGAGACUUUCCAUCCUUCCAAUUGAAGCGGACACAGCAUGUACUGGUGAUGCGAAAAAUUACUUGACACACAAAUUAAACCCUCUUUUUGACAAUUGUAGUAUAGAUGUAAGUAGGGUAUCGUU